UCUGGGCAACUUCGCUUUCUUUUCGCUCAAAAUAUACGAUUGACGAGGAAAUGGAGACAGAGACCAGUAAGAGUAAACAUUGACGAAAAGAAGAUGGAGACCGGUAAGAGUAACGACGACAUUGACAAUCUCAAGUCUUGCCAAAUCAGUUCAGUGUGCUUGCAGAGUUGCAGAGAUGGAUGAGGCAAUUGGUCGUAUUUUAAAGAGUUACCAUUCCAUUCUCUAAGCCUCCUCGCUAGUGCCGUCUCAAUCCCCUCCGUUCGUCUCCUUCUUCAGCAACACCGUUGAUCCGAGCGUUUUUUAUGACUGGCGAGUGAAGAGUACUCGAAGAAAUCAAAUCUAAACUCCAUUGAUUUAAUCUUCUCUCUUCUCAAUUUCUCAUCUCUUCCCAUGUACAAUUUUUCUAUUCAUUCAAAGCGAGGUAAAUCUGGUAUUUAGAUGCAUAAUGUUGGUUUUAUGU
This is a long non-coding RNA of Ipomoea nil (Japanese morning glory), 460 nucleotides long. RefSeq lists it as uncharacterized. Lineage: Eukaryota; Viridiplantae; Streptophyta; Magnoliopsida; Solanales; Convolvulaceae. The transcript has 3 exons. The record is from RefSeq and is a predicted model, not a curated record.